RNAcentral lists this ribosomal RNA (486 nucleotides) under uncultured bacterium. RNAcentral describes it as "partial 16S ribosomal RNA". It matches the Rfam family "Bacterial small subunit ribosomal RNA", at positions 30 to 507 of the family's 1533-position model. The record is from RNAcentral.
AUUGAACGCUGGCGGCAUGCCUUACAAAUGCAAGUCGAACGGCAGCACGGGUGCUUGCACCUGGUGGCGAGUGGCGAACGGGUGAGUAAUACAUCGGAACAUGUCCUGUAGUGGGGGAUAGCCCGGCGAAAGCCGGAUUAAUACCGCAUACGAUCCACGGAUGAAAGCGGGGGCCCUUCGGGCCUCGCGCUAUAGGGUUGGCCGAUGGCUGAUUAGCUAGUUGGUGGGGUAAAGGCCUACCAAGGCGACGAUCAGUAGCUGGUCUGAGAGGACGACCAGCCACACUGGGACUGAGACACGGCCCAGACUCCUACGGGAGGCAGCAGUGGGGAAUUUUGGACAAUGGGCGAAAGCCUGAUCCAGCAAUGCCGCGUGUGUGAAGAAGGCCUUCGGGUUGUAAAGCACUUUUGUCCGGAAAGAAAUCCUUGACUCUAAUACAGUCGGGGGAUGACGGUACCGGAAGAAUAAGCACCGGCUAACUACGUG